This is a long non-coding RNA of Bos grunniens (domestic yak), 2257 nucleotides long. The record is from Ensembl. Lineage: Eukaryota; Metazoa; Chordata; Mammalia; Artiodactyla; Bovidae.
AUGCAAUGUAGUUCUGAGGCCACAAAAGAGACUGAUAAAUACAUCAUGACUGAGGUCUAUAUACUCCUAUAUGCUGAAAACAUCCCUUUUCUACAUGUUUCAGGCAGGGAUGCUGACUUCUCCAUAAAAGAAUAUUUAUUGACUCGGUUAGUGGAAAUGUCCACAUUUUCUCAGCCUCACCUGUUUUUUUUUUUUUUUCACUCCAGCAACAGCCAGCCCUACACAGCUUCCCUCUGGGGCAGGGUGUCAGCAGCUCACCACUGCCCAUGCCAUGCACCUGUUGCUGCCUGCCCCAGGGCUAUCCCUGCUUCCCUAUUUCACUCUGAUCUCCAAUUCCACUCCCUGCCAGGGAUCUCAUCCCAGGCUCUGCUUCCAGGGGAUCUGGGCUAAGACAGUAUGAAUCCACUUGGGCUGACUCAAUAAAAUAUCAGAAGCUGGGUGGUUUAAACAAUGGAAACAUAUUUCUCAGUUUUGGAGGCUGGAAAGUCCAAAAUCAAGUUCCUGAAGAUUUGGGGGUUUGAUGAGUUCUCUGCCUGUUUCGUAGAUGGCUACCUUCUGGCUGUGUAUCCUCACAUGGCCUCUCCUUGGUGCCUGGGUGGAAAGAUCUCUCUCUUCCUCUCCUUAUAAGGUUGACCUUAUCUAGGACCCCAGCUCUUAGACUUCAUUUAAACUUAAUUAACUCCUAAAAUCCCCAUAUCCAAAUACAACUUGGAGGUGGGGAACAGUUAGGACUUUAACAAAUGGGGUACUGGGGACACAAUUCAGUCUACAGCCGACAGUAUCAUUUAAAACUAUUGGUUUGAGGGAGCUUCCCUGGCAGUUCAGUAGUUAGGACUCCAGGCUGCCAAUGCAGGGGGCAUGGGUUCAAUCCCUGGUGGAGGAACAAGGAUCCCACAUGGGGGUAGCCCCCAACACACACACCCUGCCAAAAAAUAAUUGGUUUGGAUCAAUAGGCAGCUAAGGAAAGCAAGGUUCUCCAAGAUUGCACCACCUUCCUUUUUAUUUUUUAAAGCUCCAUUUUGCUCUCUUCCCUCCUUUAUGUUUUAAUGACUAGCAUCAUAAACAAUGUUUUAUUUAAGGACUAUUUAGGAAAGAUACUAUACUAGCCUGUUCUCAUGAAUAUUAAACAUUUCUAGUAGGCUUCCCUGCUAGUAGGCAGAUGGUAAAGAAUUUGUCAAUCUGCCUGCAAUGCCAGCGAUCCGGGUUCAAUCCCUGGGUGAGGAAGAUCCCCUGGAGAAAGAAACGGCAACCCACUCCAAUAUUCUUGCCUGGAGAAUUCCAUGGACAGAUGAGCCUGGCGGGCUAUAGUCCAUGGGGCCCGCAAAGAGUCGGACACAACUGAGCAACACACACACACACACACACACACACACACACACACUUCUGCUAGUUACCCGAAAGACUACAUUCUAGUCACAGUUUUCCUAGUUUAGGGAGGAACUUUUGCCAACUUAAAGUGUAACCUCUUAGAGAAAAUCACUUUGCUUUUCUGGACCGGUUUUUUAGGUAUAAAGUGGGACAACAAGGUAACAGCUGUGACACGGGAUAACCCGGCUAUUCUGCUGGGUUAGGAGAAUCUGAGAUGGAAGGGGGAGGUACUCUGUAAAGGGGAAAGGAGCUCAGCAAGGGAAGAAGCUUCAGGGUUCUCUGGAGUGAGUAGGGCGGGGACCCUGGCGCACCCCCAGGGACCUCUGGGCUCCACAUUCCAGGGGAGAGGGAGUCCAGAGCGUUCCUAAUGCGCCUGGGUCCUCGGAGCAGCUCGGUUUCCUCUAAGCUGCCUGCCGCCAAACCCGCAGUGUUUACCAGAACCCGGGUGGUGUAUAAACCCAAAUGUCAGACUUCCUGUCCCAGAGAUUUUCAACUCGCUCACCCCCAGCUCCUAUUCGGCCUCCCCCAGGAAGGAGAGGGAAGGCUGGAAGCAGGAGGAGCUAGCCCGGGGCAGCCUCCCCCCUCCCUCUCCACCCUAAAGGCAGGAAUUUCUGGGACGGGCAGAUUGUCCACCCCUCUUCCUCCUCCUGCUCCAAGCCGCAAAGGGAGAACCUCCGCGACUUUUCCGUCUUCCAGCCAGAGAGUCCCCCCAUCGUGGCGACAGGGGUGACUGACGAAGUGGGUCUCGGGGACGCAGGGGUGGCGAGGCCCCCGGGGAGGGUUGGAGCGCGGAGGAGGCUGCGGUCCUGCCCUCCGCCACCCCACCCACCGCAGGGCUGGGCGCUGGGGCUGCGGCGCUGGCCCCCCGCGGGCGCUACACCCGGGGACC